Molecule: transfer RNA, 82 nt
Filed under: Lepisosteus oculatus (spotted gar)
Lineage: Eukaryota; Metazoa; Chordata; Actinopteri; Semionotiformes; Lepisosteidae
Rfam family: tRNA
About the family: Transfer RNA (tRNA) molecules are approximately 80 nucleotides in length.
Source: Rfam by way of RNAcentral
GUAGUCGUGGCUGAGUGGUUAAGGUGAUGGGCUUGAAAUCCAUUGGGGAUUCCCCACGCGGGUUUGAAUCCUGUCGACUAUG